AUCUUUUUGAUUCAUAAACUUGAUGAUUUGUCAUUCACACCAUUGCGUGAGAUAUCCCUCUUUCUAUUUUUUUACAGAAUCCAUACAUUACUCAUCUGAUA
Molecule: small nucleolar RNA, 101 nt
Filed under: Mesocricetus auratus (golden hamster)
Lineage: Eukaryota; Metazoa; Chordata; Mammalia; Rodentia; Cricetidae
Description: Small nucleolar RNA U13
Rfam family: Small nucleolar RNA U13
Source: Rfam by way of RNAcentral